ACCUGCUGAAUUUAAGCAUAUAAGUAGGCAGAGGAAGUGACACAAAAGUGGACUCACACAGUAGUUGCGAACGAAGAGUGAAAGACUCAAUUCGAAAUGUGUGGGUUUCUGCCCAUGACAUGAAAUCUCCGAAUGUGUGACUAAGGGUGGUGCAGGUGUGAGCCAUCUUGCAAGAGGGGAGGGCGUGCAUCAACAAGGGUGAGAAUCCUAUGUGUUGCUUGCAGACUUCUGUGUACAGUGCCCAUUUUCAGAAUCAUGCUCUUUGGAACUGGAGUGCAGAGUGGGUGGUAGCUCCCACUCAAAGUCGAACAUGACAUUGGGACUGACAGGGGAGAAGUACCGUGAGGGAAGCGUGAAAAGGACUUUGGAAAGAGAUUUAAAAGAGCCUGCACUUGCUGAGUGCCAAGCACACAGGAUGGCAGAGGUGGGAGAGAUUGCUGCGUGCGUGUGCAAUUCUGGCUGUCACCAGACAGGAGCUUGCCAUGCAUGCUUGUGCUGCAUGUGGAGAUUCUUUUCUUGAGUGCCAGUAUGUAUGUAUGUAGUCGAUGCCUGUUGGCAUUGCUUGUGGUGUAUCCUGGGAUAUGUGAUUGUGUGUGCCUUGUCUGAACGUGCCGAAGGCUCUGUUGCACUGUGACCCAAGCUAUCAGCAUGCCUGUCUGUAUUCACUGUUGGGGAGUCCAUGACCAGUGUGUUUGCGGUGAGCUCCAUUCUGUGUGACCCGUCUAGGAGUCUAGCAUAGUUGCAAGCUUGUGGGGGAGAGAACUCAGUGCACAAUGAAGGUGGAGUCCCAGAGUGGGCAUGAGUGUUCAACCAAGCAGCAGGAUGAGGUUUGAGCCUGAGUAUGCCCGCUAGGACCCGAAAGAUGGUGAACUAUGCCUGGGAAGGGCAAAGUCAGGGGAAACUCUCGUGGAGGCUCACAGCGCUACUGACGUGCAAAUCGUUCGU
RNAcentral lists this ribosomal RNA (945 nucleotides) under Gambierdiscus excentricus. RNAcentral describes it as "LSU rRNA". It matches the Rfam family "Eukaryotic large subunit ribosomal RNA", at positions 23 to 905 of the family's 3401-position model. Lineage: Eukaryota; Dinophyceae; Gonyaulacales; Pyrocystaceae. The record is from RNAcentral.